Molecule: ribosomal RNA, 492 nt
Filed under: uncultured bacterium
Lineage: Bacteria
Description: partial 16S ribosomal RNA
Rfam family: Bacterial small subunit ribosomal RNA
Source: RNAcentral
AGUGAACGCUGGCGGUAGGCCUAACACAUGCAAGUCGAACGGCAGCACAGUAAGAGCUUGCUCUUACGGGUGGCGAGUGGCGGACGGGUGAGGAAUACAUCGGAAUCUACUUUUUCGUGGGGGACAACGUAGGGAAACUUACGCUAAUACCGCAUACGACCUACGGGUGAAAGCAGUGGAUCUUCGGACCUUGCGCGAUUGAUUGAGCCGGUGUCGCAUUAGCUAGUUGGCGGGGUAAAGGCCCACCAAGGCGACGAUCCGUAGCUGGUCUGAGAGGAUGAUCGGCCACACUGGAACUGAGACACGGUCCAGACUCCUACGGGAGGCAGCAGUGGGGAAUCUUGGACAAUGGGCGCAAGCCUGAUCCAGCCAUACCGCGUGGGUGAAGAAGGCCUUCGGGUUGUAAAGCCCUUUUGUUGGGAAAGAAAAGCAGCAGGUUAAUACCCCGCUGUUCUGACGGUACCCAAAGAAUAAGCACCGGCUAACUUCGUG